This 297-nucleotide long non-coding RNA is filed under the name Haliotis rubra (blacklip abalone). RNAcentral describes it as "uncharacterized LOC124275721, transcript variant X3". The record is from RNAcentral. Lineage: Eukaryota; Metazoa; Mollusca; Gastropoda; Lepetellida; Haliotidae.
CCUUGAUAUCCUCUACCACCUUGAACAAGUUGUGGUACUUGAACAUGCACAACCUUCAAGAAAUAGAAGCAAUGGUGUUAUUUCAAAUGACAUCAUGACUGCCUUAGAUUAAAACUUGAAGGAGGUGACAUUCCCCAGAAAAGUUGUUCACCAUACCAUCCCAUGUUGGGUUGCCCCCCAGUCCAGAUCAACAGUUUGUUGAGGAAAAGCUUGGAAUUCAGUUGAUGCCUAUUCUUGCUGUGAAGAGGAGCAAUCUGAACUACUCAUUGCCAGAUGCAAAAGAAGGAGAAACCCAUG